Molecule: ribosomal RNA, 253 nt
Filed under: uncultured bacterium
Lineage: Bacteria
Description: partial 16S ribosomal RNA
Rfam family: Bacterial small subunit ribosomal RNA
Source: RNAcentral
UACGAAGGGGGCUAGCGUUGUUCGGAAUCACUGGGCGUAAAGGGCGCGUAGGCGGCCGAUCAAGUCGGGGGUGAAAGCCUGUGGCUCAACCACAGAAUGGCCUUCGAUACUGUUUGGCUUGAGACCGGAAGAGGUCAGUGGAACUGCGAGUGUAGAGGUGAAAUUCGUAGAUAUUCGCAAGAACACCAGUGGCGAAGGCGGCUCACUGGCCCGAUACUGACGCUGAGGCACGAAAGCGUGGGGAGCAAACAGG